Molecule: ribosomal RNA, 253 nt
Filed under: uncultured bacterium
Lineage: Bacteria
Description: partial 16S ribosomal RNA
Rfam family: Bacterial small subunit ribosomal RNA
Source: RNAcentral
UACGAAGGGUGCAAACGUUGCUCGGAAUCAUUGGGCGUAAAGCGCACGUAGGCGGCCUCAUAAGUCGGAUGUGAAAUCCCUCGGCUCAACCGAGGAAGUGCAUCCGAAACUGCGAGGCUCGAGUAUGGAAGAGGGUCGCAGAAUUCCCGGUGUAGAGGUGAAAUUCGUAGAUAUCGGGAGGAAUACCAGUGGCGAAGGCGGCGACCUGGGCCGAUACUGACGCUGAGGAGCGAAAGCGUGGGGAGCGAACAGG